This 297-nucleotide unclassified non-coding RNA is filed under the name Hevea brasiliensis (rubber tree). The record is from RNAcentral. Lineage: Eukaryota; Viridiplantae; Streptophyta; Magnoliopsida; Malpighiales; Euphorbiaceae.
GGAAAAACAUUGUGGAAUAUGCUUACGUAAGGUAAUAGAUAGCUGCAAACUUCAGCGGAGCACCUAAUCAAUAAGGUAAAGUUUGGCGGCGAAAGUACAAUUAACGGCUUGAGGCGGCGUGUGAUGUUCAGUACUUCAACUGGAAAGCUCAACUAAUCCUAGAGGCCCUUAACAAUUCAAAUCUCUGAAGCGGAAGGGGUGAAAAAACCCAAAAAAAUUGUGGGAUACAAACACAUUAAAAAGGAUUGCAAAAUAAAAUCAUUGUAGAGUAUGCUUGCCUGAGGUAAUGGGUAGUUA